Long non-coding RNA from Chiloscyllium plagiosum (whitespotted bambooshark), 1621 nucleotides. RefSeq lists it as uncharacterized. The record is from RefSeq and is a predicted model, not a curated record. NCBI's taxonomy places the organism in Eukaryota, Metazoa, Chordata, Chondrichthyes, Orectolobiformes, Hemiscylliidae.
GUUAUUGAGCUGACGUUAAACAGAAGAGGAAUGUUCCAUUUCCGAUCCAUGAAAGCAGUGUCAUGUUAAGCUUGGCAAGAAGUGCACUGGCCAGCAUUUGUACCAUGCCAAGAACCUGGAUGUGAUGUUAUAAAGUAUUUAGGGAUCCCACAGGGAAGAGGCAAGACUGCGACAGAGACAAGAUAACUGUAAGUGGAAAAUAAAGACUGUGCAACACCUAAAGGUAUCAAAGAAACUUCAAACAGAUGGACUGUGAUCUUUUGAUGUUUUUAGAAAUUAUUGCAAGAGAAGAGAUUUGGUUUUCAAGAUUCACCUCAUUCUGGACAAUGCACCAAGCCAUCCUUCCACCUUGAGCUUUCUGAAAACAUCCAAGUGCUAUUCUCUCUCAUUCAACCCAUGGACCAGGGUGCAAUAGCAGCAUUUAAAGUUUAUUAUUUAAGGUGGACAUUCAGGAAACCGAUUGCAGCUUCUGAAGGGGAUAAUGACGACAGUGUGUUCUUCAAUUUUGAAAGAGCUUUAACAUUAAGAAUGCUAUUGACAUUAUUGUGGAGGCCUGGGGUGAUAUCGGUACGGACUGCUUACAUGCAGUUUGGUGGAAGCUUCUUCCAGAUUUUCUUCAUGAUUUUAAAGGUGUUGAACUGUCAGAAGAGCUUCCAGCAAUCAGGGAUCAUUGUGUUGCUCUUGCAAAGCAAGUUGGAUUUGAAGUGGAGACUGAGGAUGUCGAGGGACUGCACGAGUCCCAUUGUGAAGACCUCUCCACAGCUGAUCUACAACAGCUUGUGGCUGCGGGGGAAACUGAACCUCUAGAUGAAGACAACAAAAUCCAGGAUGCACCACCACAAGAACUUUCUACUUAUCUUUUGUCUUCUAUCCUGAGGGAAGUUGAGAAGCAGUUGCAACUCUUAGAAGACAAUGACUACAAUGUAGAAUGCAACAGGAUAGCAGUUUGAGGGAUAAAACUUUAUCUGGCAUCCUAUGAACAGCUUCUUCAUGAAAGACAAAAGAUGGAAAAGCAGCAAAAACUAGAAGCCUUUUUUAAGCCAACUUCCAAGAAACACUCUGAGGACAAUGAACCACAGCUAUCCACUUUUGGACUAAACAUAUCUUUUCAUCAUAACCCUGCACCCAGAACUGCACCUGAAAGUAAUGAUGAUGCUGAUGAUGACCCUCAGCCCCGUCUUCAUUCAGUACUGUAACUCAGCAAACUCAGAAAUUCCUUAAAGUGUUAAAUUUAGUGUAUUAUUUCAUUAAAAUAUAUGAUUUUAACAUUUACUUAGAUUGUACUAUCAUUUGUGUUAGACUAUAUAUUAUUUUUGUUUUGAUUUUUACUGAUAUUUCUGGUGGUUUGCCCCUAACCCUGUUUUUCCCACAGGCCCAGUUAUUUCUGUGACACGAGCUCGAACGAGAAUGUAACUAUCAUGUUAUAGCAGAACAGACUGUAUAUCAACGUGCAGCAUUUUCCAAAUGCCAAUGAUGAUCAUUUGUGCCAAAUAUUGCAAAAUGACAAUCUAUAUCAAAGUGGACUAUGAUCAUAUUUAGUGCAUAACCCUGUCAAUAAUGUAACUGAAGAUACUUUUGGAGGAAUAUUUCUGAUGUUCAUUAUUUAUAAUAAAUCGUUUAC